Molecule: ribosomal RNA, 725 nt
Filed under: Vibrio sp.
Lineage: Bacteria; Pseudomonadati; Pseudomonadota; Gammaproteobacteria; Vibrionales; Vibrionaceae
Description: bacterial SSU rRNA
Rfam family: Bacterial small subunit ribosomal RNA
Source: RNAcentral
UGCAGUCGAGCGGAACGAGUUAACUGACCCUUCGGGUGACGUUAACGGCGUCGAGCGGCGGACGGGUGAGUAAUGCCUGGGAAAUUGCCCUGAUGUGGGGGAUAACCAUUGGAAACGAUGGCUAAUACCGCAUAAUGCCUUCGGGCCAAAGAGGGGGACCUUCGGGCCUCUCGCGUCAGGAUAUGCCCAGGUGGGAUUAGCUAGUUGGUGAGGUAAUGGCUCACCAAGGCGACGAUCCCUAGCUGGUCUGAGAGGAUGAUCAGCCACACUGGAACUGAGACACGGUCCAGACUCCUACGGGAGGCAGCAGUGGGGAAUAUUGCACAAUGGGCGCAAGCCUGAUGCAGCCAUGCCGCGUGUGUGAAGAAGGCCUUCGGGUUGUAAAGCACUUUCAGCAGUGAGGAAGGCGGGUACGUUAAUAGCGUAUUUGUUUGACGUUAGCUGCAGAAGAAGCACCGGCUAACUCCGUGCCAGCAGCCGCGGUAAUACGGAGGGUGCGAGCGUUAAUCGGAAUUACUGGGCGUAAAGCGCAUGCAGGUGGUUCGUUAAGUCAGAUGUGAAAGCCCGGGGCUCAACCUCGGAACUGCAUUUGAAACUGGCGGACUAGAGUACUGUAGAGGGGGGUAGAAUUUCAGGUGUAGCGGUGAAAUGCGUAGAGAUCUGAAGGAAUACCGGUGGCGAAGGCGGCCCCCUGGACAGAUACUGACACUCAGAUGCGAAAGCGU